UACGUAGGGGGCUAGCGUUGUCCGGAUUUAUUGGGCGUAAAGAGCGUGUAGGCGGUCAGUUAGGUCCGUUGUGAAAACUGGAGGCUUAACCUCCAGCUGUCGAUGGAAACCAUCUGGCUAGAGUCCGGAAGAGGAGAGUGGAAUUCCUGGUGUAGCGGUGAAAUGCGCAGAUAUCAGGAAGAACACCCGUGGCGAAGGCGGCUCUCUGGGACGGUACUGACGCUGAGACGCGAAAGCGUGGGGAGCGAACAGG
This 253-nucleotide ribosomal RNA is filed under the name uncultured bacterium. Its description in RNAcentral is "partial 16S ribosomal RNA". It matches the Rfam family "Bacterial small subunit ribosomal RNA", at positions 524 to 776 of the family's 1533-position model. The record is from RNAcentral.